RNAcentral lists this ribosomal RNA (403 nucleotides) under uncultured Synergistaceae bacterium. Its description in RNAcentral is "partial 16S ribosomal RNA". It matches the Rfam family "Bacterial small subunit ribosomal RNA", at positions 355 to 774 of the family's 1533-position model. The record is from RNAcentral. Lineage: Bacteria; Thermotogati; Synergistota; Synergistia; Synergistales; Synergistaceae.
UGGGGAAUAUUGGGCAAUGGGCGCAAGCCUGACCCAGCGACGCCGCGUGAGGGAUGAAGGCCUUCGGGUUGUAACCCUCUGUUGCAGGGGAAGAGAAGAAGACGGUACCCUGUGAGGAAGCCCCGGCAAACUACGUGCCAGCAGCCGCGGUAAUACGUAGGGGGCGAGCGUUGUCCGGAAUUACUGGGCGUAAAGCGCGCGUAGGCUGUAAUGCAAGUCAGAUGUAAAAGGCACGGGCUUACCCUGUGUAUGCAUCUGAAACUGCAUUGCUGGAGGCAUGGAGAGGCAGAUGGAAUUCCUGGUGUAGCGGUGAAAUGCGUAGAUAUCAGGAAGAACACCGGUGGCGAAGGCGGUCUGCUGGCCAUGAACUGACGCUGAGGCGCGAAAGCUAGGGGAGCAAACG